Molecule: long non-coding RNA, 440 nt
Organism: Chinchilla lanigera (long-tailed chinchilla)
Lineage: Eukaryota; Metazoa; Chordata; Mammalia; Rodentia; Chinchillidae
Exons: 3
Source: RefSeq, a predicted model, not a curated record
GCCAGGACACUGAAUAAGCCAUCACCAAGGCCUGAGACCCAACACUCAGGGUCCUGAGAAGGAAAUGGAGCUGAAAGGAGGAGAUGACAGAGUGCCCAGAAAGAAUUCAGCACCUCAAGGCUGAGUUUCCUCGGGUCUAAGUUAUCCCCUUCUGCGAGAAACCCAUGAGGACGAACCCAUGAAGACAUUCGACAUCUGCAGGGAAGUACAGCGUGCUGGGCUGGGAAGAAGCCAAAUUGCAGCACAUUUUCUGACAGAGGGGAAAAGGAUGAAAAAAAUCCAAGAUGCUGGAAAUUCAAGAUCAAGGAACAGUUUUGUGGUUAAGGGGUCAGAAGCUGGUUUGUCCCCUGUCCUUCUGCAGUGACCCCCAGCAAUUUUUAUUUUUCCAUCUGCUUUAUUCUUGGAGUCACGAUGAAGAGGACAUCCUGGCUUUAAUAAUG